Molecule: ribosomal RNA, 1104 nt
Filed under: Triticum aestivum (bread wheat)
Lineage: Eukaryota; Viridiplantae; Streptophyta; Magnoliopsida; Poales; Poaceae
Description: partial small subunit ribosomal RNA
Source: RNAcentral
AUGGGGUGCUUUUCCUGCUGCGGAGCCGAUGAUGUUGGCAAGAAAAAGAAGCGCGAUGAUCCUUAUGUUCCGGUCCCUGCCCCAGGGGGUAACUAUGGUUAUAACCGGGGGCCAGCGCCAACCCAUGCCGUCCGUACCAGUAGAAGCCAGCUAAUUGAAGUACCAGCCAUUCCCCUAGACGAAAUUAAGGAAAUAACCAAGAACUUCAGCAGUGAUGCUCUUAUAGGAGAGGGUUCAUACGCAAGAGUUUUCCUUGGUGUACUGAAGGAUGGCAAGAAAUCUGCAGUGAAGAGGCUUGACUCCAGCAAACAGCCUGACCAAGAAUUCCUUGUGCAGGUCUCGGCUGUUUCAAGACUCAAGCAUGACAAUGUCAUCCAACUUCUCGGGUACUGUGCUUUAGGGAGCACCCGUAUUCUUGCUUAUGAGUAUGCAACAAGGGGCUCCUUGCAUGAUGUUCUCCAUGGUAAAAAGGGCGUCAAGGGAUCCCAACCAGGACCAGUCCUAUCGUGGAUGCAGCGGGCGAGGAUUGCUGUAAGCGCCGCGAGAGGGCUCGAAUUCCUCCACGAGAAGGCAGAGCCACGUGUCGUCCACCGUGAUAUCAAGUCCAGCAACAUACUGCUCUUUGACAACGAUGUUGCAAAAAUAGGAGAUUUCGAUGUGUCUAAUCAGGCCCCUGACAUGGCUGCACGCCUUCAUUCUACACGUGUUCUUGGCACCUUUGGUUAUCAUGCUCCUGAGUAUGCAAUGACUGGGCAGUUAAGCGCAAAGAGCGAUGUAUAUAGCUUUGGAGUGGUGUUGUUGGAGCUUUUAACUGGCCGCAAACCAGUUGAUCAUACACUUCCCCGUGGCCAGCAGAGCCUUGUGACAUGGGCUACACCAAGGCUAAGUGAAGACAAGGUGCGGCAAUGUUUAGAUCCAAAGCUUGGUGUGGAUUACCCUCCAAAGGCUGUCGCCAAGAUGGCUGCCGUGGCUGCCCUGUGCGUGCAGUACGAGGCGGAUUUCCGGCCAAACAUGGGCAUCGUCGUCAAGGCUCUGGCCCCGCUGCUGAACACCCGGACAAGCAACCGACCUGCCGGCUCGGCCUCCAGCGUCGCCGUCGAGUGA